RNAcentral lists this long non-coding RNA (5777 nucleotides) under Sinocyclocheilus grahami. RNAcentral describes it as "lncRNA (ENSSGRG00000049235.1)". Lineage: Eukaryota; Metazoa; Chordata; Actinopteri; Cypriniformes; Cyprinidae. The record is from RNAcentral.
AUGGAUUUGACUAAAAUGGGUAUGAUCCAGCUCCAGAACCCCAAUCACCCCAAUGCCCUGCUGCACAAGGCUAAUCAGAUGCGCCUGGCCGGCACGCUGUGUGACGUGGUCAUCAUGGUGGACAGCCAGGAGUUCCACGCUCACCGGACCGUGCUGGCCUGCACCAGUAAGAUGUUUGAGAUCCUCUUUCACCGGAACAGCCAACAUUACACUCUCGACUUUCUCUCACCAAAGACCUUCCAGCAGAUUCUGGAGUAUGCCUACACUGCCAUGCUCCAAGCUAAAGUGGAGGAUCUGGAUGACCUGCUUUAUGCAGAGCAAUGCCUGAAGAUACUGGAGACCAUCCAGUCCUCGGAUGAAAAUGACACGGAGGUCAACAUGAACGACGGAGGCGCAGAAGACGAUGAGGAGCGCAAGGGACGGCAUGGCAGGAACCCGAAAAAGCAUUCCGUGGAGGAGGGCAGCUACAUGUCGGCUGCCCAGCAAGCACUGACGCUGCCAGGAAUGGUGGAUCAGAGUCCUUCUGUCUCCACCUCCUUCGGCCUCUCCACCAUGAGCCCAACGAAAGCAGCCGUGGACAGCCUGAUGAGCAUCGGCCAGUCCCUCCUGCAGAGAACCAUGCACCCCGGCGCGGGUGCCGAACAGCCCCUGCACGGCAACUCCCACCCCAUGAUGGGAGAGAUCAAGACGGAGAUGAUGCAAGUAGAUGAGAGCGGAGAACACGAGAACCCAAAAGCCAUGGAAUCCAGCGCCUCCAGCAACGGCGAGCGCAGCGGAGAACCUGACAAGAACCGCGAUGGGCCCGGCACCCCUACCAGGAGCAGCGUGAUCACUAGUGCCCGUGAACUGCACUACGUCAGGGAGGAAGGUGUGGGCGACCAGCAGGCGGAGGUCAACCAGAUGGGCCUGGAGGCCAUGGCAGGGAUGACCGAAAAGCACUUGGCGUCACUCUACGGCAUUCCUCCCAACCACAAGAACGAAGCAAUGCUCUCUAUGCCCGCUUCUAUGGCCUCAUCCUUGCACAUGUCCCCAGCAUUGGCCAUGAUAUUGAUGCCAAAUCAGUGUUUCGGACCACAAUUCUUUUCCGCUGUUAAAGAAAUUCAUGAGUUGGAAAUAUGUCUGCACAGCGGAAUGAAGACCUACGGAUGCGAGCUUUGUGGAAAACGCUUCCUAGACAGUCUGCGCCUAAGGAUGCACUUGCUGUCUCACUCAGCUGGUGAGAAAGCCAUCGUUUGUGACCAGUGUGGAGCUCAGUUUCAGAAGGAAGAUGCUCUUGAGGCCCACCGGCAGAUCCACACAGGAUCAGAUAUGGCCAUCUUCUGUUUGCUGUGCGGGAAGCGCUUCCAGACGCAGACAGCUCUGCAGCAGCACAUGGAGGUCCACGCAGGCGUGCGCAGCUACAUCUGCAGCGAGUGCAACCGCACAUUUCCCAGCCACACCGCACUCAAGCGCCAUCUCCGUUCGCAUACAGCAGGUGACCAUCCAUUUGAGUGCGAGUUCUGCGGCAGCUGCUUCCGAGACGAGAGCACACUGAAGGGACACAAACGCAUCCACACCGGAGAGAAACCCUAUGAAUGUAACGGCUGCGGCAAGAGGUUCAGCCUCAAACACCAGCUAGAGACCCACUACCGUGUCCAUACAGGUGAGAAGCCGUUUGAGUGCAAGCUCUGCCACCAGCGCUCCAGGGACUACUCGGCCAUGAUCAAACACCUGCGUACCCACAACGGAGCCUCACCGUACCAGUGCACCAUCUGCCUGGAAUACUGCCCCAGCCUCUCCUCCAUGCAGAAGCACAUGAAGGGCCACAAGCCCGAAGACAUCCCCCCGGACUGGAGGAUAGAGAAGACUUACCUCUACCUCUGCUACGUCUGAAGGAGGGAGACGACGGGGAGGGAAGGGAGCAGGAGGGCGAGGGGUUUGAAGCGCCUGGAAACACAGUCAGGAAAUGGAUGGAUUUGUUGGUGGUGCUGGGCAAGGCGGACAGAAAUCUUACCCCGUCAGUAUAGCAAAACAUUAAAAAAAAGCAUCAUGUUAUAGCCGUAUAUGGGAAGUCCACUCUCUACAUGUCAGCUUACGUCCCAAACGUUAAAUAUGUCUUAUCAGUCAAACGACACACACUUCAACAACGAUUCCUCCUCUUCAUAAGGAUGCCCUCUUCUGGUACAAAAACAGUAGUGUGAACCAGACACAGUGUUUAUCUCUCAGAGAUGUGCAGGAAGCACUUAGACCCUUCAGUGGUAACGUGCCAGUCAGGUACUCCACAGCAAAUAUGAACAGUCAUGUUCAUCAGGGUCAUUACUGCAAACUGGAACGUAAGCUUCCUGCAAAACAUGUUCACGAUGCCCGGCUGACAGUCAGCAUGUAGAUCCCUCCCAUAUGAUUCACAUUCAUUAAGGGCUUAUUGGUUUAACCAGCGUACAAAUCAGCUAAGCUCUCAGUACUCUGCUCAUCAAUGUCAUUUAACUUUUUUUUUUCUCUCGGCAUAGCGCGUAUUACAAGCUGACUUCACGACGACAGUUUUUGUUUGAUGUUGAUUUCUCAAGCGCAACAUUUCGAGUUUAUUUCAAGCAGAAUAACACGCACACACUGUACAUGUUCAUGUUAUCUCCUCCUUCGCUUAUCAAGUCUGAAAUCGCUUAACCGUUCGAAACGAGUAACUUGGCAAUACAUACAGAACAUCCAUUACACACUAGAAAUCUAAUCAACUGUUUAUGCUGUUGUUAUAGAGACCAAAAUGAUGACUGAAGCUGCUUUAGUCAGUGGCUUGCAGACUGAGCGGCACUGUGACGUACAGGGCUCGUCCGCACAUAUCCGUGUGUUCGUAGGUGGUCAUGAGGCUUGGCCUGUCCAGCCGGGAACGCUGGGAUGAAUGAACAGAGCAGAUCAACUCUUUUGGUUUGGUUCCUUUCGCUUUGUUUGUGUUUCCUAUUAUACCUUGAUUUACUUCAGCACAUCGUACUUGAAUUACCUCGUUUUUUUGUGACCUCAUGUGCUAGUGUUUUCAUUUUUCCUUUGUUUCUUUAUAUAUUUGACUGUUUGCUUUGCGAGCAGGAGCGGCGUGUGCUUUUAUGUACUUACGAAAUUAAGUGCCAUGGUGAAGAGAGAUUGUCUUUCGUUCGAAGUUUGUUUUUCUUUGCAUUAAUCUUACCAAACUUGGUAUUAUGUUUUUGUUUUGUUUGUUUGUUUUGUUUUACUAACCCUGCUUGUUGAAGAGCUUGUGGGUUUGGUCAUUUUUGUUGUAAGCUACCUCUAAGUUUUGUUUCUUUUUGUUGUUUCGUUUGCGAAAGCACAUUUGUUGUGUUUUGCGUUAUUUCAACUUCAUCUCACGCUUUCAAGUGUUGUACGUCGGAAGCGACGAAUAUGAAAGGGUAGGAUUUGCUUAUAGGAAAGGCGAAUUGAAAAAAAUAAUCAGAACUUUCCCUAUCAGUCCCCCCCACCCCUGUAAAUUGUUACCUUAAGAGCAGAAAAGAGAUUUCUGAAGCCUUAAGUUCGGGGUCGGAGUUGAUCUGGGAGGUGCGUAUGGAACAAGUGAAGUGUAGUACUUUAAAGUCUGGAAAAAAAAAAAACGUUAAACUUGAAAAUAUGUGAAUAGAAUUGUAGUUUUGUAAUGUGAAAAAAGAAGGUUCACAGAGCGUGAGCCGCCAAGAACAGGUCAUAUGCAGCAGUGCAUUGUGCGUUGGACAAUUGGGACUGCAAGUGGUAAUCAAAGACGAAAGGAAGAAGAAAAAAAAAAAACGAAAAAUCCUGUCAGUUGACAUGUUUCUUUGUAUGAGUGUAGUCCUGAGCAAGAGCCAACAGAGGCCAUUUGAUAUAUAAAAUUGUGAUAUUUUUGUAUUAAGUGUCAGUCCCUUUUUUCCAUUUGUUGAGGUUGCAGCGGGGCAAAACUUUGUAGUUCUUUUUUUAUAUCAUUAUUCUCUCGUUUGAAUCGUUUGCCUUGCUCCUCUUCGGUAAUGUUGGACAGUGCGUGAUCCUAUAGUGGUAAAUGUUGCUUUCUGGAUGUCAAUACAUUGCAGGUGAAGGACUAAAUCAGCCACAUUCUCCUUUGUGAAAAUAACAACAAACAAACAAAACUAAAAAAGAUGUGAUGCCAAUGAUCAAUUCCAUUGCACACGAUAUCUCAGACAAAACAAUCAAUGUUGCCAACGUUUUGUUUUUUACUUGAAGUGACUAAAAAAGAAGGGAUGGGAAGACGCGUCAAAGGAAACGUUAAUUGUCGUGUGUCUUGCCGUUGUUUUCUGGAAAACACUGUGAGUUUGGGCAUACUUGCCCCCUGUGAGAAUUUAAAAACUAGUAGCGCCAUGAAAAAAAAAAGGCAGAAAUAUAUAUUUUGUUCUGUAAAUGGAUAAUGUCGACUGAUGUUAAAUGGGUAAAACAGAGUUUUGCAAUAUGUGGCAACAAUACGAGAUAUUAAGUCACAUGUUAGUGUACCUUUUUGAUUUUGUACUUUGCUUUGAGUGUUUUCACUGUGUGUGUGUGUGUGUGUGUGUGUGUGUGUGUGUGUGUGUGUGUGAGCACGUUAGUGUCAAAUGCACUAAUCUGAAGUCAUAUUCUAUGCCACUUUUCUCUCACCGUGAUUAAAAAAUAUUGGCAUCGAUAUAGUUCUUCCCUCAAUGUUCUUCUGAUGUUUCUGUAAUAUCUUUGUGCCUAAAUGAAAUUGUUCAACAAAUUGUCCACAUAUAUCUGCUUAGUUUCUGUAUUUUCAAGAAAAUUAUUGGUGUCUUCAGGGCUCCAGGGGUGCCAUGAUGAUCUCGGAUGGAUUCACUUGAGACGAUUUUUGUUACGUGAUGAUCAUUUGGUCUAUUUUCAGUGGUUCCACUGGCGACCGAUCAGUAUUGUAGUGUUUUAUACACAGCUCGACAAAGACAAGCCAAACAUUCCUUGGAUCGGAAUAAGAGCGUUUUUCACAAUGAAUAUUCUGCUUUGAGGGGGAAAAAUUGAUGUUUGAGAAUCAAACUUACUUUCAUUUCCUCAUUCUUUUUUUGCCUCAGCAACAGGUUUGCUGAUUAAACUUUUCAACCAUGUCCCUUUAACAUUCGGCAUUUGUACUGCCCCUACUAGACAUUUUUAUUUGUUGUUUAAAGUACUUAUGUUAUCAUUGCAUCCCUGGAGUUGGCUCACUGUGUUCCAGUGUGGUGUUCUAGAAAGAGUAGCCAUUUCAUGCUGUGUUGCCAUGCAUGUGCCAUUGAGGUCAAAACUAAACUGUUUGAGUAACAAAGCACCAAGACGUUGUCUUUUUUUUAUAUUAGCACUGAGGACCAAUUGCCCUGUCGGACCAAGCAUAACAAAGCUUUUUAUGUAACAAAGCAGUUUCUCUCUUCCCCCUCUCCUUCUCUGGCUUGUCUGUAUUUUUUUCCUCCCUUGUGACAGCACAAGUGCCAGUCCUGUUGCUCUUUAAGAAUAUAGUGUUUUGUUUCUGGGGAUUUUAUUUUUGUUUGUUCUAUUAUUAUUAUUUGAAUUGUUAUAGUUACGUCUACCUCAGCACCUAAUCUUAGCCUAAUCUUAGAAGGUGCCCAAUUAUUAUUAUUAUUUUUUUCAGUUUGUUGUCAAUUGUACAAAUUUUUAUUUGCAUUAGAGCUUUGCAACGGUCCUCUGUCUUUUCCAGCAACAUGCUAUUUUUUGUGGCACUACUUUCUGAAUGUUGUGCUACAGAUAUUGGCAUCAGUUUCCUGAUGUAGUCUUUCUUUCGGUGUAGGAUCAGACACAUCUCUUUGUAACAUUUCAGUGUUCUCUGAUGGAGUGUGAAAAAAAUAAAGAAUUUAAAGAGAUCGAACGCUGCA